Molecule: ribosomal RNA, 465 nt
Filed under: uncultured bacterium
Lineage: Bacteria
Description: partial 16S ribosomal RNA
Rfam family: Bacterial small subunit ribosomal RNA
Source: RNAcentral
CCUACGGGAUGCAGCAGUGGGGAAUAUUGCGCAAUGGGCGAAAGCCUGACGCAGCGACGCCGCGUGAGGGAUGAAGGUCUUCGGAUCGUAAACCUCUGUCAGCAGGGAAGAACGGUCACUGUGCUAAUCAGCAGUGAAUUGACGGUACCUGCAAAGGAAGCACCGGCUAACUCCGUGCCAGCAGCCGCGGUAAUACGGAGGGUGCGAGCGUUAAUCGGAAUUACUGGGCGUAAAGCGCUCGUAGGCGGUAUGUCAAGUCAAGGGUGAAAUCCCCGCGCUCAACGUGGGAACUGCCUUUGAAACUGGCAAACUGGAGUGUGGGAGAGGAUAGUGGAAUUCCAGGUGUAGCAGUGAAAUGCGUAGAUAUCUGGAGGAACAUCAGUGGCGAAGGCGACUAUCUGGCACAUAACUGACGCUGAGGAGCGAAAGCGUGGGUAGCAAACAGGAUUAGAUACCCUUGUAGUC